Molecule: long non-coding RNA, 876 nt
Filed under: Lactuca sativa (garden lettuce)
Lineage: Eukaryota; Viridiplantae; Streptophyta; Magnoliopsida; Asterales; Asteraceae
Description: long non-coding RNA (LSAT_LNC006796)
Source: RNAcentral
CGGAACUAAAAACAAACACUUCGACUUUUACAAAAUCUAGACUCUACAGAAAUGGCAAAAAGUCUAAACAAUUGAGACUAUGAUUACGACAUCCCUUUUCAUAGUUCUGAAAUUGUUUAGACACACUUGUGAGCUAUCUAAGAGAGGUGUAUGAUUUUGAUAAAGUAUUAUCAAGGCAAUCUAGUAUCAGAAAUCUGAACUUUGGUAAGAAAGUCAAUAAAGUAUUGAUUUCUAGAAGUCCAGUUGAUUUCUGGGUACAUGUCAAAGCUAGUGGGAGCAUAAGUGUUAUGCUAUUAAUCAUCAUGUUAGUGGGAGCAUGAUAAUUAUGAUAAAGGUUGCAAGUUAGCAAUGUUAAUUCUAGAAAACAAAAGGUCUCAAUUGGGAAAAAGUUGUUUUGCUAUAAUUAAGGGAGAGGAAAUUAUACUUCAUCUCAACUCUAAAAGCUUAGAUUGAGGUCUUAAUCGUAUUUAGUCAAGAAUAUAUAUGAAUUUCAUGUUGGAAUGGCUCAACAUAAGUAAAUUCUAUAUAUGGGUUAUACUUCAUCUCAAAUCUAAAAGCUUAGAUAGAGGUCUUAAUCGUAUUUAGUCAAGAAUAUAUAUGAAUUUCAUGUUGGAAUGGCUCAACAUAAGGAAAUUCUAUAUAUGGGUUCAUUAUUUGCGUUCUAAAAUUUGAUUAUGAUUACGGCAUCCCUUUUCAUAAUCUGAAUUAUGAGAACUUGGCAAAUAGAAAUGGAAAUAUUAUAGCAAAAGACUGGUUUAGUCUUUAUGUGAGACAUCAUGAAUCGUGUCCCAUAUGCUUCGGAUAUAGGAUCGAUUACAUGUGCUAUAUUCAUCCUUUCUAAAAUUUUCCAAAUGCCUAGGGCAUUAAGAAGGGAAA